This 1076-nucleotide long non-coding RNA is filed under the name Pogona vitticeps (central bearded dragon). RNAcentral describes it as "lncRNA (ENSPVIG00000010144.1)". The record is from RNAcentral. Lineage: Eukaryota; Metazoa; Chordata; Lepidosauria; Squamata; Agamidae.
GCAAUAUGUUUGCUUUAUAAGACUUGUAUAUGUCAAUUUUACAGAUUUAAAUAACACUUUGAAACUAAAUGGUUGGGUGGGUGGAUGUGCGUGUGGAUGUAGGUGUAAGUAAAAUUUAUCUUUUAUGAAACAGUGGUUUUCCCGAUCUGUUCCACUAUCUGCAGGAAACUUGUGGCCCCAUUCAUUUUUGGGGAACCAGUUUAGAUAGUAUCAGUGGACACAUUGAAUCAAAUACUUCUAUUAUGUUUUAAUUUUCAGGUUGGAUUUUGGAGCAACAAGCACUUAUACUGUUUCCAGUGGUACAGUUAGAUCUGGCGAGAUGCAAAAGAAGAUGGGACUUUUCCUCUUUUAACAUUGUGUGGAAGGUAGAAUUUCAGCAGAAUGUAGCUUGCACCCCUCUUUUACAUCUAGACACUCUAGGGUGCAGCUCUCUAGAUGUUACCCACCCUUAGAUGCAAGCUAAGCUGCUGAAAUUUCAUUUUCUGUACACUAUAGUUUGAGAAUUACAGUCCAAAAACCAUUAGAGUGCCAUAUUUUGUCCCACUCCACCAGUGACAGAGCUCCUGCAUUUUUCAUAGUUUUGUAGAAGAAGAGAUUUACAUGGAUAUAGCAUGUCAUCCCUCUUCUCUGCAGCUAUGAUGGACACGGGAGCCCUGUCCUUUGGUAAGAGUGCGGGUGGAGGUAGCGAACAUGCAAUGUUGUCUUUUAUAUCUGGCCACCUUAGCAGAUACUGCCACUUUGAGAACACUAUUCUCUUCUUUCCGGUAUGCAUGGCUCUAGAAUUUCUUUCUUUCUUUUCUUCCAGUGUGAGAAACUGGAGCUGGCAAAAGGACCCUGAUGGCUUUCCUUUGCAGCACAAAGUGCUUGUAGUUACACCAGAUUGCUUGACAUCUGCUAGACGUGACACUGUCUUCUGGUACUCCAGGUUAUACAUGUCUUGCCUUUUAUCUCAGGUAUGUAUAUAUGUGUGUGCCUUUGCAAUGGCCAUUUUAAAAACAAAGUUAGCUGCUUCUCUAGUUAGCUUGUACCACUCCCAUCCAAAAUGUGUUCUGCGUCUCUUACCUUUGUACUUUUAG